This 217-nucleotide non-coding RNA is filed under the name Thiorhodospira sibirica. The record is from RNAcentral. Lineage: Bacteria; Pseudomonadati; Pseudomonadota; Gammaproteobacteria; Chromatiales; Ectothiorhodospiraceae.
ACCAUUGCGCGGCCUUUUGGUGCCUUGGGGUGCAUUUUUUGCCUCCGAGGUAAACGGGAAGCCGGUAUGCAUAGCAUGCUCAAGCCGGCGCUGCCCCCGCAACGGUAGGCGAGUUAACGCAAGGCAAUAGACCACUGUGCAUCCGCAUGGGAAGGUGUCUUGACGGGGAAUGAUUCCGCUCGCAAGCCCGGAGACCGGCCAAAGGUCACAACCCGAU